Molecule: long non-coding RNA, 772 nt
Filed under: Malus domestica (apple)
Lineage: Eukaryota; Viridiplantae; Streptophyta; Magnoliopsida; Rosales; Rosaceae
Description: long non-coding RNA (MDOM_LNC000400)
Source: RNAcentral
AAAAGGAAUUACUUGAGAAUGAAUUCUUUUGUGUAUGAUUCGUUUAAAUAACUUGUGUUAGCUAGAGUUGUUGAUAGUCUCAAAAUAGUUGAGACAUCAUCAAUAAGCUAAUGGAUCUUAAUGAUUGUCAAUAGAUCCAAGACAAGUUAGUGGGAGCAAUAUGCAUUCAAAUCAAGAAAAUAUAAUUGUUAAGGUUUUGAAUGAAUGCUGAGUUACAACAAGGCCAGUGGGAGUGAUAUCAUAAUUUGAGCAACAAGAUAUGAAUAAAGUCUAUUUGAUAGACUUGAUAAAACAUAGAUGUUACUCAAAAAAUGACAAAAUUGUGACAUGGUCAAUUUUGAAGUAUAGACUUGAAAUUGGACUUAAUGAUAUAGCAAGGCUAUCUCAAGAAUAUUUAAAUGGGGAAAUUAAAUCUCAAAUGUUGAAGAUUUAAGAAAGCAUUUUCCUAUAUGAUAGAAAAUCACUUUCGUAACCCUUAUAAUGAAUGUGUCACAAAAUCACAAAAGGGACACAUGUAUGGACUUGUGAGUAGAUAUCCAAAAGUGAAGAACCACAGGGGUUGUCACUUUAAGAUAUUACUAUAUCCCAGGAUCAGAACCAAAGCAACUGAUAGAGUAUUAUUGCCUUUAAGAAAGGAACAUCAGAGUGGGACUCUGGAAGCGUGCGUUCACUUAGGUUAUAAACCAAAGUGAAAAUAAGCCAUUUUAACAAAUGGAACUUCAUAAUGGAUGAAGUACUAAUCAUAUGAAUGUAUUGUAAGUAUUGUACUACA